AGUGAACGCUGGCGGUAGGCCUAACACAUGCAAGUCGAACGGCAGCACAGUAAGAGCUUGCUCUUACGGGUGGCGAGUGGCGGACGGGUGAGGAAUACAUCGGAAUCUACUUUUUCGUGGGGGAUAACGUAGGGAAACUUACGCUAAUACCGCAUACGACCUACGGGUGAAAGCAGGGGAUCUUCGGACCAUGCGCGAUUGAAUGAGCCGAUGUCGGAUUAGCUAGUUGGCGGGGUAAAGGCCCACCAAGGCGACGAUCCGUAGCUGGUCUGAGAGGAUGAUCAGCCACACUGGAACUGAGACACGGUCCAGACUCCUACGGGAGGCAGCAGUGGGGAAUAUUGGACAAUGGGCGCAAGCCUGAUCCAGCCAUACCGCGUGGGUGAAGAAGGCCUUCGGGUUGUAAAGCCCUUUUGUUGGGAAAGAAAAGCAGCAGGUUAAUACCCCGCUGUUCUGACGGUACCCAAAGAAUAAGCACUGGCUAACUUCGU
Molecule: ribosomal RNA, 491 nt
Filed under: uncultured bacterium
Lineage: Bacteria
Description: partial 16S ribosomal RNA
Rfam family: Bacterial small subunit ribosomal RNA
Source: RNAcentral